GUAACGUACGCCUGACGAGGCGACGCGAGAGGUAAACAUGGCGGACAGCGACGGCGACAGUGAAGGCGGCAGCAUGUAUCCGUUGCACGAAAACGUAUUUCUAGGCGAUGUCCGUCGUGUUUCGGCGCUCCUGAGGACGCACGACGUCGCGCAGAAGGACGUUCACGGAAACACGCCACUUCACUUGGCUGUCAUGCUGGGUCAGAAGGAGUGUGUGCAACUACUUUUGGCACACAAUGCUCCUGUCAAAGUGAAGAACAGCCAAGGUUGGAACUGCCUAGCAGAAGCUGUCAGUUACGGGGAUCGUCAGACAAUACUCUCCCUGUUACGGAAACUCAAGCAGCAGUCACGGGAAGCAAUGGACUUUCGUAGGCCAGAUCUCGUGCGUAUUUUGGAACUCAUGGGCGAUUUUUACAUUGAGCUCAAGUGGGACUUCCAAAGUUGGAUACCAUUGGUCUCAAGGAUACUGCCAUCAGACAUCUGUAAAAUUCACAAAAAAGGAUCAAAUAUUCGGUUAGACACAACACUCGUCGACUUCAACGACAUGAAAUGGGAGCGCGGUGACAUCACUUUUCUUUUUACGGGCAACGACAAACCGUCCAAGUCGCUAACAGUGCUGGACAACAAUCUGAAGGUCUACCAGAAUGUCCGUUACGAGGAUACAGAAACCGAGAUUGAAGAUGAGGUGGACAUACUAAUGAGCAGUGACAUUGUGGCCGGCCAGAUCUCAACCAAGACUGUGACCUUCCAGAGGGCACAGUCCGGCUGGCUGAUGCGGGAGGACAAAACCGAGAUGGUCGGGAAGUUUCGAGCAGAUUUCUACAGCAUCAAUGGCCUAACAUUCGAGUCUCGAAAAAGGAGGGAGCACCUCACCGAGGAAGAUCUUCACAAGAACAGGGCAAUAAUCGAGAGCUUUACGAGAGGCAAUGCGACGGUCCUAGAAAAUGCAGAGCCGCAGCGGAGAAAGUCACUACCUCCGCCUCCACAAAGAGACGUCACGUUUGAAGAUUACAUCUCGGCUACACCGGGAAACCCGCCCAUUCUGGGGCGAACACCAGUCAGCAAGACAACUACCAAAGUUUUCAAGGCCACCUUGGCCAUGAGUCAACAUUUCCCCCUCACUGUAAAUUCCCUCCUAAAUGUGCUGGAAGUGAUAGCGCCAUUCAAACACUUCAACAAGCUUCGGGAGUUUGUACAGAUGAAGCUACCUCCUGGUUUUCCUGUUAAAAUAGAUAUACCAAUUCUACCUACGGUGACUGCCCGGAUCACGUUCCAGGAUUUCGAGUUUCGGGACAACAUAGAUGAUGCACUUUUUGAGAUCCCCACAAAUUACGCGGAGGACCGCAACCGAUUCCCAGACUUAUGAUGCCUGGACGACUUGCUUUUGGUGACUUUCGAAGAACGCCACCGCGUUGUCAUGACGCGGCGACCUCGUCUGACCCCUUCCUCCCGCGUCGUCCGCCAUCGCCAUCGUCCCAUGUGCGUCGAAGUUGUCGCACUGGACAUUCCUGUCACACUCGGUCAUGGCAGCACGUUCUCCUCAACGUUGUCUGUCGUCGUCGAUGUGUGAUGCCUCCCCCUUUCCGGCUGCCCUCAACAUUCCCAUCGUGCUCGCAGAAGCAGUUUCUAGAUUUGUGUCGGUGCUGAUGUGCGAUGCCCCCAACACCACACCACCCUGUCCUUCUCCCAUGAGGUUAAGUCAACUUGCCCUGGACAUUCCCAUCACAUUAACUUGCAGCCGCACUUAUCUCCUCAACAUUGUUUGUCAUCUUUGACAUGUGGUCCCUCGGCCUUCCAUCAGAGAGCAAGCCUCAUCCCCACUUUUCAGAGGCUGAGGUCACCUGUCCGUACCCAUCGUUUCCAACACUCCUGCGCCCCUCCAAAGGUGCGUAAAGACUCCUUUAGUUGUCCUCAUCGUCUGUCAAACACAUACCAUGUGGAUUGCUAGAGAGUGCUGCCUGGCGUGUCUCUCUCGUCAACCCUUGUUCCUGCCUUGAUGGGCUUUCCGGACAAACAAAUGGCAUUGCGUGCUGUGUGAAUCGUUGGCGAUGUCAUGACGACUCUAUGCGGAGCCCUGCAGGGCAUGGCUCUCCAAGUUUAUUCUCAUGCUUUCUUUUUUUUUUUUUUUUUUUUUUACGAAUGGCCUCGUGUAUGGGGUUAUUCUUGCAGUGCACAUAUUGCUGCGUUUGUCCUUGCUCUGACAAGAACACAGCUUUGUCGAUAGCACCUACGUACGAUGCAUGACUUCUGCAAGCUUUGAUGACAGAUUGUGUUUUUAUAACAAGGUGGCUUUCUUUUUUUUAUUAUUGCAUUUAUCGCUGCUCAAUCGUAAUGGCUAACACGGAAAUGUUGGGCUUUCUGGUUCAUCUAGGUUUUAGAAAUGACUGAAACGACUCAACUCUGACUAGCCCUGCAUUUCUACGCCGACAGUGGACCAACCCUAUUAAAAGAAAAAAAAAAAACCUGUGCGCAUUCUCAUGGCUCCUGUGUCUUCUGAACUAUUCUCACGGAAAACAUCGAGAGUCCUGCCAUUUACGUGUGGGUAAUGCGGAGAAUGUGGAAUUAUGAGAAUCCGUACGAAUCCUUUUCAGUAGGGGAAUGCAGGCAAUAUUCCUCAGCUUUUUUUCUUUCCAGGCUAGCCACUUGUUUUGAAAAAUGGCUAUCAGAUCUGUAGACUUCCGUCUUGUCAAGUUUGCAAGCUUCUAUUUUUAACCUAAAGUGAUGAGUGUAACUAUAGUGCCAACCAUCAUCAUGUCAUACAUAAAAAGCUGAGACGACAAAGUAAUUACCUCAGUGGUUUACUCUUAAAGGCGGUAAGACACGUUGCGUUAUAGCCAUUGUACAAUGUUGCAGAAUGCCGAAACCAUUACCAAAGCCAGGAUGUUGUUUGAAAGCAUGCUCCUACUGUAUGUAAGCUGGUGACCUGCGAGAGCACUUUGAAUUUAAGCGAAGUGGUUUGUCGUAAGCGCUCUGCAUCAAACUUUGCACCUACGCGCUAACAAGUGACAGUUUACAGACGAAAGUCGUGAACAAAUCUUUUAUCGCUGCCUUGGUUGCAGCCUCACUUUGUUCUUGUUUGUUGCUGUGACACCUUCAUCACCUUGAGCACUGUCGUACCUUACCAGUACAUUUACCACAUUGCUAAUCUGGAUGUUGCAAAACAGGUUACUGUAAACAGAGUGUUACAAGAAUGGUGCAGCAUAAAUGCAUACGUGUAAAUGUUCUUUCAACUUAACAGUUGGCUUGCGAAGCAUUUUGUCUCAUAGAUGAUUGUGCGAGUGGCUCAUUUGUUACACAACUGUGAACAGGUGUUAAGUGUGGCUGGCAAUGUUAUGUCGGUUGUGUGCUUAAGCAUAAGUUGCUGCUAAACUCUGACAACAGGUGUGGAGUCUGUUCCUACAUUGUGCGAUGUGCUCCGCUAAAGCAAGGGGGGAUGUGUACUCGUUUGCGUCUGAUGUGCUGCACCUUCGAGGCCGUGGCGUAUGGCUAUCUCCCUUGGCAAGCGUACAUGGCAUGGCUACCGAGAGAUAACUGCACUCCCUCAUUUCUUGUCAAGUACAUCAUAGACAUGGUGCUAAUGAAACUUUGCGUUGCAUUGGAUUUCUUGAAAGCUGGCCUUGUUGCCGAAAUUCAUAUUCUUGAAAACUCCUUGAUCUUCAGCCACAGUAAUGCUUGCUUGUGUGUGCAUGUGUGCGUGUGGUAUCUCAGCAGUCUCUCUGCUUUAUCUUGUGUGAGGCAAAGUUCCGAAGUUUGCGUCAUGAUAAAACGUGUGCCAUGCGUUUGUACACUUGUACUUACAGUUUUGCAGCUCCAGCUGCUACAUGUAGCUGCUGAUCAUUGAGCAUUGUUUGUGACUACUGUGCAAAUUCUACUCCGACUUGAGUAGCCCACUUGAGGCUACUUUUUGCCCGUUGUUUUUGUUUUAUUUCAUGAGGGAAGCUUUAGGGAAUACUUCCUUCUGACCUACUAUGCGACAUACCUUUUACGUAUUUGCUAACGCUGCAUUUCAGCUGAUGUAAAAGCUGUUGCAGUAUUUCGUGAGGCGAGCUUGUGUUGCAGCUUUUAUCUGAAAACAUUUACUAGUGUUCCGGGCCUGCAAUUUGCAACAUUCGUGGUGCCUCGAGCUCCGGGCCCGUACUUUGCAAUGUUCCACUUCAUUUACCAUUCUUUCUUUCUUAUCAGGCGUCGUGGUGAGUGGCCUGUCCCAGCGAUAAUGCUGGCUUCCAACCCGCGUUGGAGCCAACAACAAAACGCAGAAAGAAUGAAAAAUGAAUUGAUUAUUUGAAAUUG
RNAcentral lists this unclassified non-coding RNA (4290 nucleotides) under Dermacentor andersoni. Its description in RNAcentral is "ankyrin repeat domain-containing protein 13C-like". The record is from RNAcentral. Lineage: Eukaryota; Metazoa; Arthropoda; Arachnida; Ixodida; Ixodidae.